Rhea pennata is the source of this 618-nucleotide RNA transcript. It is a transcript of the gene named tubulin folding cofactor A, with no coding region annotated. The transcript is spliced from 4 exons. NCBI's taxonomy places the organism in Eukaryota, Metazoa, Chordata, Aves, Rheiformes, Rheidae. The record is from RefSeq and is a predicted model, not a curated record.
CGCGGCGCAUGCGCGCGGGCCGUGCUGCGCAGUCGCGCCGGUGCGCCUCCUGCUCCGUACCCUGCCCCCUCCCCCCGCGCCGUUGGGGCCCGGCCGCGCCGCUCUCCCGCCUCGCGCCCCCCGGCAGCCCCGCCAUGGCCGACCCGCGCUUGAGGCAGAUCAAGAUCAAGACCGGCGUCGUGAGGCGACUGGCAAAAGAAAAAGUUAUGUAUGAAAAAGAAGCAAAACAGCAAGAAGAAAAGAUUGAAAAAAUGAAAGCUGAAGCAUGUGAUGAUUAUGGAAUCAAGAAGCAGAGUGGAGCAGCUUGCGGUUCCUGGGAAUUCAGGUGGUCUGUAGUUGUAGCAGUGAUCUACCAGGGUUGUUGGCAGCAAUUAAAUCCAAGCCUCCAGCCUGCACUGUCCGGGAAGACUCAUUUCAUGAAGAGUGGACUUAUCUCAUAGAAACAAAAAUGACAGUUUGGCUCUCAGUGCUACUGUAUGCGUGUGGUAGGCUGUGUUACCAAGGAUGAGAAUUUCUAGCCUUAUUGGAUUGAGAUCUUGCAAGAAUCACGAAUGAUGAUUCCAGAUUGCCAGCGCAGAUUAGAAGUUGCACACGCAGAUCUUACUCAACUAUUAGUAA